UGCACACAUGGUGGCAGUGGCCAGAGCACUCAGGUGCUCGCUGCCAAAGUAGAGCACAUGUGUAGCUAAUUCCUCAGCCUCAUCCUUCCCAUGGUCUGUGAUCAAUCUAUAACCCCCAGGAGUCCUGUUGUAGCAUCAGACCUUCCUCCAGAGAAGUUCUCUGCACGCUGUUGCUUCAGUUCACUGGGGAAAAACAACAAGGACACUUACACCGGCAAUGGAAAUAGAAUGAACAACAGAGAGACCUUCCAGGUUUGACAUGUAAAGGGAAAUAACUUUGUAGUUAUUGUCCCUACUUGGAGACAUCAAAAACAGGUGUAGAGUGUAAGGCGGUGCAGGCUGAGAACGAAGUGGAAAGUAACACAAAGUCAAAGAGAAGAGUUGAAGGAAUUUGGAACAAGGGAUAAUGGACUUGGCUGAAAAGAUGGAGAAUGAAAGACACUGCGCAAAGGUGAAGUCCAUUGUUGUACAAUCAAAUUAACUAUUAAAUGUCAGCUGCAAAGGUGAGCCAUAAUAUUAAAAGGACCUUCCAGUAAGUUUUACGCCAUUUUGACAGCUUUACAGCCACUGAAAAUGUCCAUAGAGCCUCACAGUUUGCUAAUGAAUGGCUUCUCCAUAAGAAUGGAACAGGUCAGAAACUUUGAAAGAGAAGCUGGAAAUACCAAUUAAAGAAAUGGAUGCUUCUGCAAAAUCAAAACAACUUUGAAGAACACUCACUUAUAUUUUUGGAGGAUUCACAAAGAACUGAACUAAAUAUAAGCCUUAGAAGUCUGCUCCAAUUCUUUUCCAUAUCCAGGUUUUCAUUAAUUUCAUUCUAAAGCUGGUUAUAACCCCCUGAUUCCAUUCUAUUUUGAUGAUGCCACUACUGAGCUAGUUUCCCAAGUUGUGCUGUUUUGAUGUUUCUACUUUUGUGUCAUUCACCACGUGGAAUUUUAUGGACCUCUUUUCUUUUGGAAUAACACCCAUCAUUUAAAUGUUGUCACUGUUCAAAAAUACUUCUUUUCUUAUGCGAAGCUGUUCCUUCAGCUGCAGCUGCCACCAGUAGUGGUUAACUUGUGGCACCUAAAUUCCCCGCUGAGUGGGUCAGCUGCUGCUGUUGCAGUUAUGUGUCAGAGCAGGCUUCAUCCUUGGUGAAUCAAAUAGCAUGACUUCUGAGGAGCACACUCGUAGUGCAGCAGGACAGUCAUGUACUCAUACUCUGACCCCUGUACUGCUGCUGGGUGAGAGUUCUGCAGCUACAAGAAUCAAUAAAAAUGUAUUGAUUUCUCUGCACUGUCAUAAAGCUUGUCUGCUCUCAUCUCCAGUUUGCAAGCAGAAAAAGAAGAGUGUAAAACUGCAAUUGUCUUAGGCUUUCUCUCACCUCCCCCGUUCCACGCUCAUCACUCCAGAGACCAAGAUCUGUUUCUGACAUGCUGCCCCAGCUGCUGUAUCAGCAUCCUACUCUUUUAACACUUUGUGUUGGAAAAAUAGCUGGUUUUGAAACUAAGUAAGUGCAGGGGGAUUGCCUUAAAGACUAAGGUGAGUGACUUCUCUGGAGCUUAAUUUGUCCCACUGCAUGGAGAAAAGGUUAGCCAAGGGCAAAUAAUGUGAUGAGGAGUUCAUUGUCUCUGUAGGUAUUGCAGUCUCACAUAAAGUUACUUUUCUAGGCUGUUUCAGAUCCCUUUGAAAGUGAUGUUUUCUAUUCUAGGAAGAAGGUGGGUAGUGAUCAUUGAUCUGAAGAACGUAGGAAUGUCCUCCACUGCUGGUAGCUGUCUCAGAGGUAAAAGUGAAGCAGGAGAAGGGUAAAAUAGUAUUUUCAAUAAUAUUUAACUUCACAGCAACUGUCACCUAAUAACCAUACCUGUCAAAAGGCAGCUGUGCAGAUAUGUGCCUCUGAGGUUCAUGCAGAUUACUUGGGAAGCUUGGCUUCAAGCUUCUGGGGAUGGAUGUAACAAUUUGUCAGCUGUAUAAUCAGUUGAUCAAAUCCCAAAGUCCUGAUAAAACGCAGAAUGCAGUCAUGGAGCAAACAGGCCAGAAAAGAUUCACCCAAAAGACAGAAGUACAAGACCCCUGCACAUUGCUGAGUACAAUUUCAUGAUUUCCAUGAUUUCACUGCCUAGGUCAGCAGUAUCAGUGAACGACUAUAUUGGAAUAUUACAGAUCAACAACAAAAGAAGCAUGAAAGGGGAGCAACUUGCAUUGUUUAAAAGCAUCUCCUUGGAUGCUUUUGUUUCUGUGAAGAAUGAGGACUUUGACACUCAGCUAUUCUUUUGAUGAGGUCCUCAGCUGCACCAGUUCUGAUAGAAAUAUUUGCAGUGCUGCAAAUUAACAAGCGAUACACACACGUGACCACUGGUCAAAUGACUGACUGUGUCUGUAUCGUCAGUUGUCAAUGUAACUAUGUGUUACUUAAUGUAUUUGUGGCGCAGGAAGUAGGCACUGCUUUCUGCUCUACCAGCUGAAGGGCAAGGCAGACCUGCUGACAAGUAGGAAAAUACAGGUUUAUCAACCCUGCUGCUUUAGUGACUUUCCUUGCAUUGAUGGCUUCAAGCAAGUAAUUCCAAGAAUGCAAUAUUUUAAAUGCAUGCUGUUGGGUUGUUAUAUGCAGGAUGUUGAGUCAGGCUCACACACAGUGUUAUUACUUAGGUCUGCAACUGCAGACCCAGACAAGGAAAAGGGAAAAUUCCUUUGUGAGCAGUUAGGAAGGAAGCACAGGUGGGUCCCCAGAAGGGUGUUCUCUGGGGGCUCUCUGCAGCUCAGCUGGCAGUGAGGAUGAAGAGGAAAAUAAGAAUGUUUUUGGCAUGCUUUUGCAGAAUAUAUUGUAUAUUUUUGUUCGUACCUUUUUUUUUUUCCUAGUAGGAUCAAAUCAAAAUCCCUGUUGGAUUUUCCUGUUAGUAGGAUAAUUACAGUAGAGCAUGGUAGCAAGAUAAAAGUAUUGUGUGUUGGUCACUGAAAUGUGCUCGUAUAUUUUCUGAUAAUGUUUCAGUAUUCAAUUGACUUGUCUCCUUUGUUGUGCAUUAUGCUUAAUUGAGUUUAAUAUAAAGUAACAUAUACAAUAUGAGAUAAGAAAAGGUUGGGGAAAAGGCGUGGUCUUUACAUCUGUGGCAGUUGGUUCCCACAAGAACGUGCUGUAACAACAUUAUUGGGGCUUGCAGGUGCAAGGCCCUGUGAACAAUAAAGAAAGGUGUGAAAACAAGGGCAAAACACUGCCUCAGCAGCUGCUGUGAAAGAAUGGAGAGCUGCAAAUAACAGCCCCUCUGCGCUGCUAAGGUUGAAGAGCAGAAAUACCAAGGCACAGCACAACAGCCCACACUCAGUUCCAGGUCAGGCAGAUGUGAUCUCGUUGUGUUC
This 3330-nucleotide long non-coding RNA is filed under the name Gallus gallus (chicken). RNAcentral describes it as "lncRNA (ENSGALG00010018946.1)". The record is from RNAcentral. Lineage: Eukaryota; Metazoa; Chordata; Aves; Galliformes; Phasianidae.